This 245-nucleotide ribosomal RNA is filed under the name uncultured bacterium. Its description in RNAcentral is "partial 16S ribosomal RNA". It matches the Rfam family "Bacterial small subunit ribosomal RNA", at positions 111 to 354 of the family's 1533-position model. The record is from RNAcentral.
UAACGCGUGGGCAACCUGCCUCAUACAGGGGGAUAGCAUCGGGAAACUGGUGGUAAAACCGCAUAAGCGCACGAAGACGCAUGUAUUCGUGUGAAAAGGAGAAAUCUGGUAUGAGAUGGACCCGUGUCUGAUUAGCUAGUUGGAGUGGUAAAAGCACACCAAGGCGACGAUCAGUAGCCGGCCUGAGAGGGUGGACGGCCACAUUGGGACUGAGACACGGCCCAGACUCCUACGGGAGGCAGCAG